This 2126-nucleotide ribosomal RNA is filed under the name human gut metagenome. RNAcentral describes it as "bacterial LSU rRNA". It matches the Rfam family "Bacterial large subunit ribosomal RNA", at positions 410 to 2541 of the family's 2925-position model. The record is from RNAcentral.
AAGUAGAGCGGGACACGUGACAUCCUGCUCGAAGAUGGGGGGACCAUCCUCCAAGGCUAAAUACUCGUGAUCGACCGAUAGCGUACCAGUACUGUGAAGGAAAGGUUAAAAGAACCCCGGGAGGGGAGUGAAAUAGAUCCUGAAACCGCAUACAUACAAACAGUAGGAGCCUCGUUAAGGGGUGACUGCGUACCUUUUGCAUAAUGGGUCAGCGACUUACGUUUAAUGGCGAGCUUAACCGUAUAGGGGAGGCGCAGCGAAAGCGAGUUCGAACAGAGCGUUCAGUCGUUAGGCGUAGACCCGAAACCAGAUGAUCUAUCCAUGGCCAGGUUGAAGGUGUGGUAACACACACUGGAGGACCGAACCGACUAGUGUUGCAAAAUUAGCGGAUGAGCUGUGGAUAGGGGUGAAAGGCUAAACAAAUCUGGAGAUAGCUGGUUCUCCCCGAAAACUAUUGAGGUAGUGCCUCGUGUAUGACUCCAGGGGGUAGAGCACUGUUAUGGCUAGGGGGACAUGGCGUCUUACCAAACCAUGGCAAACUCCGAAUACUUGGAAGUUUGAGCACGGGAGACAGAGCACCGGGUGCUAACGUCCGGACUCAAGAGGGAAACAACCCAGACCGCCGGCUAAGGUCCCUAAUAUUGACUAAGUGGAAAACGAAGUGGAAAGGCUAAGACAGUCAGGAAGUUGGCUUAGAAGCAGCCAUCCUUCAAAGAAAGCGUAAUAGCUCACUGAUCGAGUCUUUCUGCGCGGAAGAUGUAACGGGGCUAAGUCAAUAACCGAAGCCGCGGAUUCACACUUAUGUGUGAGUGGUAGGGGAGCGUUCUGUAAGCCUGCGAAGGUGACUCGUAAGGGUUGCUGGAGGUAUCAGAAGUGCGAAUGCUGACAUGAGUAACGUUAAAGCGGGUGAAAAGCCCGCUCGCCGUAAGCCCAAGGUUUCCUGCUCUACGUUCAUCGGAGCAGGGUGAGUCGGCCCCUAAGGUGAGGCUGAGAAGCGUAACUGAUGGGAACAAGGUUAAUAUUCCUUGACCACCGCUGAAUGCGAAGGGGGGACGGAGUAUUGAAGAUCAUCCGGGUGUUGGAUAUCCCGGUUUGCGAGCGUAGGAGGCUGACAGGCAAAUCCGUCAGCGAAUCUCCGAGGCAAAGCAUCGAGCUCUCUUUUGAGCGAAGUGAUUGGAUGUGCUUCCAGGAAAAGCCUCUAAGCUCCAGUUCAGCGGGACCGUACCGCAAACCGACACUGGUGGGCGAGCUGAAUAUGCUCAGGCGCUUGAGAGAACUCAGGAGAAGGAACUCGGCAAAUUGACACCGUAACUUCGGGAUAAGGUGUGCCUUUGUAGCGUGGAGGGAGAAACACCCCGAGCGCGAAGAGGUCUCAGAUAAUCGGUGGCUGCGACUGUUUAUUAAAAACACAGCACUCUGCAAAGACGAAAGUCGACGUAUAGGGUGUGAUGCCUGCCCGGUGCUGGAAGAUUAAUUGAUGGGGUGCAAGCUCCUGAUCGAAGUCCCAGUAAACGGCGGCCGUAACUAUAACGGUCCUAAGGUAGCGAAAUUCCUUGUCGGGCAAGUUCCGACCUGCACGAAUGGCAUAACGAUGGCCACACUGUCUCCUCCUGAGACUCAGUGAAGUUGAAGUGUUUGUGAUGAUGCAAUCUCCCCGCGGCUAGACGGAAAGACCCCAUGAACCUUUACUGUAGCUUUGCAUUGGACUUUGAACCGAUCUGUGUAGGAUAGGCGGGAGCCUGUGAAACCACAACGCCAGUUGUGGCGGAGGCGUCCUUGAAAUACCGCCCUGAUUUGUUUGAGGUUCUAACCUGGGACAGUCAUCCUGUCCGGGGACCGUGCAUGGUAGGCAGUUUGACUGGGGCGGUCUCCUCCUAAAGGGUAACGGAGGAGUGCGAAGGUACGCUAGGUACGGUCGGAAAUCGUGCUGAUAGUGCAAUGGCAAAAGCGUGCUUGACUGCGAGACCCACAAGUCGAGCAGAUACGAAAGUAGGUCAUAGUGAUCCGGUGGCUCUGUAUGGAAGGGCCAUCGCUCAACGGAUAAAAGGUACUCUGGGGAUAACAGGCUGAUACCGCCCAAGAGUUCAUAUCGACGGCGGUGUUUGGCACCUCGAUGUCGGCUCAUC